UGCGUAGGCGGGUCUUUAAGUCAGAGGUGAAAUCCUGGAGCUCAACUCCAGAACUGCCUUUGAUACUGAGGAUCUUGAGUUCGGGAGAGGUGAGUGGAACUGCGAGUGUAGAGGUGAAAUUCGUAGAUAUUCGCAAGAACACCAGUGGCGAAGGCGGCUCACUGGCCCGAUACUGACGCUGAGGCACGAAAGCUGGGAGCAAACA
Molecule: ribosomal RNA, 205 nt
Filed under: uncultured bacterium
Lineage: Bacteria
Description: partial 16S ribosomal RNA
Rfam family: Bacterial small subunit ribosomal RNA
Source: RNAcentral